Molecule: ribosomal RNA, 483 nt
Filed under: uncultured bacterium
Lineage: Bacteria
Description: partial 16S ribosomal RNA
Rfam family: Bacterial small subunit ribosomal RNA
Source: RNAcentral
AUUGAACGCUGGCGGCAGGCCUAACACAUGCAAGUCGAGCGGAUGAGGGGAGCUUGCUCCUGGAUUCAGCGGUGGACGGGUGAGUAAUGCCUAGGAAUCUGCCUGGUAGUGGGGGAUAACGUCCGGAAACGGGCGCUAAUACCGCAUACGUCCUGAGGGAGAAAGUGGGGGAUCUUCGGACCUCACGCUAUCAGAUGAGCCUAGGUCGGAUUAGCUAGUUGGUGGGGUAAAGGCCUACCAAGGCGACGAUCCGUAACUGGUCUGAGAGGAUGAUCAGUAACAGUGGAAAUGAGAAGCGGUCCAGCCUCCUACGGGAGGCAGGAGGGGGGAAUAUUGGAAAAGGGGCGAAAGCGUGAAACAGCCAUGCGGGGGGUGGGAAGAAAGUCUUCGAAUUGUAAAGCACUUUAAGUUGGGAAGAAGGGCAGGAAGUUAAUACCUUGCUGUUUUGACCUUCCCAACAGAACAAGCACCGGCAAACUUCGU